This 434-nucleotide ribosomal RNA is filed under the name uncultured bacterium. RNAcentral's name for it is "partial 16S ribosomal RNA". It matches the Rfam family "Bacterial small subunit ribosomal RNA", at positions 29 to 507 of the family's 1533-position model. The record is from RNAcentral.
AGCGAACGCUGGCGGCAGGCCUAACACAUGCAAGUCGAACGAACCUUUCGGGGUUAGUGGCGGACGGGUGAGUAACACGUGGGAACGUGCCUUUAGGUUCGGAAUAACUCAGGGAAACUUGUGCUAAUACCGAAUGUGCCCUUCGGGGGAAAGAUUUAUCGCCUUUAGAGCGGCCCGCGUCUGAUUAGCUAGUUGGUUGAGGUAAUGGCUCACCAAGGCGACGAUCAAUAGCUGGUCUGAGAGGAUGAUCAGCCACAUUGGGACUGAGACACGGCCCAAACUCCUACGGGAGGCAGCAGUGGGGAAUCUUGCGCAAUGGGCGAAAGACUGACGCAGCCAUGCCGCGUGAAUGAUGAAGGUCUUAGGAUUGUAAAAUUCUUUCACCGGGGACGAUAAUGACGGUACCCGGAGAAGAAGCCCCGGCUAACUUCGUG